Molecule: long non-coding RNA, 1416 nt
Organism: Chinchilla lanigera (long-tailed chinchilla)
Lineage: Eukaryota; Metazoa; Chordata; Mammalia; Rodentia; Chinchillidae
Source: Ensembl
CGCCCUUGCGAGGUCCCGCUGCGCGCCGGCUGUGAGCCGGGGGCGUCCGGGCGCAGGGAGGAGCCCAGAGGGCCCCAGAGCCGUGGCCAGCCUGCUCCUCGCAGCCGCGUGACCCGGAGCCCAGCCUGGCCUCUCGAGGCUCAGCCGUGUGCACCGGAGAUGGACGCGGGCCCAGGGCGCGUCCUGGCUCAGCUCUCACCGAAGGCCAUUCCUAGGCGCGACGCGAGCCCCGGGGCAGGUUCAGCUUGAGGGCACUUGUGCUGUGCAGCUGGCUACACGAGGGAGGGAGCACUUGAAGUGCUGGGGUCGGGAAGGCUUCACAAAUGACACAUUCCAGCUGGGCUUUGUGGGAUGGAUAGGAGUUUUCCAAUCUAAGGGCAAGGGCAGUCCAGCUGGAUGCUUCACACCUGUAACCCAGCACUCUCGGAGGCUGAAACAGGAGGAUCAAAAGUCCAGGCCCACGCUGGGCAACUUAGUACUUCAGCAAAACUGUGCUCACAGUAAAUGGAAAGAGCCAGGGGUGGGGCUCCGCGGAGUGACCCGAGAUGCGCAGCCGGUGGGGGGCCGCACAGGAAGCCGCAUGGCGCGGCUGGGAAACGGGGUGGUUUGUGCGGCCACGCCCGGUGGGUGAGGGGCCCGGGAGAGGCUGAGAGUUCUCCAGGCUGCGGCCACACUGCCGAGGGGCUCUGGGGCUUAGGGAAGCUGCCAGGAGCCCCGUGUCCGCAGCCGCACGGCCCGGGCGCCUUGGUCAAGAAGGGAGAUCAGCGUACAGUGGGACAGGACCCUGGGCUGAGAGGUCACGCGACUUCCUUGGGGUCACACAGCUCCGUGAGCCGAGGUCCAGCCCACAGCCCAGGCCCCCCACAGUGGACGCGCACAGAGAGCGGCUCGGGACCCACGACUCUACGCUCUUACAGAUGUGCGGCCAGAUGUGUUUCUCCGACGGCCACGCAGUGGGGUCUGAGGGCCCACUCCCUGCUGCCGCGGUGUCCCCGCCAGAGCCUCGGAAGGGGCUCUGUCUUGCCUGGGAGGUCGCAGGUGCCGUCUGUGGGCGCCCGCGACACUGUGGGCGUCACACAGGUGGAGCCGCGAGGGGCUGAGGGUCUCACACCUCCGCACCCGCACCAGCCGUGGUUCUCAGGGCCCCGAGCCUGGGACGAAGAGGAUGGGAGGCUUGGGCCCCAGGUCCAGCCGAGCAGGAGGACGGAAGCACGUGAUUCGGUGUCUAUGAAAACGUGCCGUGUUCCCUCGAAAAUGAGACCUAACCGGAAAAGAAGCCUGGCCGUUACCAUGGUGACAGCCAGCAUCCUGCGGCAGAGUCCAGCUCCUGGAGCCUUAACUCAGUGGCUGUUCUGUGGGCAGAUAAGGCCAAGUGACAGUUUUGAUCUCUAGUUUUCAAAGCUGAUUAUUUCCCAG